AUUUUCUUUCUUGUUUAUCCAAGAUUACCUGGCUGGUGUUUGCUUGUUCUGGAGUGAUCUUCUGACUGGAAAAGAACUAUGUCAUGGAUCAAGGAAGGAGAGCUGUCACUUUGGGAGCGGUUCUGUGCCAACAUCAUAAAGGCAGGCCCAAUGCCGAAACACAUUGCAUUCAUAAUGGACGGGAACCGUCGCUAUGCCAAGAAGUGCCAGGUGGAGCGGCAGGAAGGCCACUCACAGGGCUUCAACAAGCUAGCUGAGGUGGGUGUGUAUGGCAGAGCCCAAAGUGAACAGUCUGUGGAGAGGUAGAUUAUAGCUAGAAAACCAGGCUCUGAGUUUGCUGUGGUUGGAGAGUGUUUUUUGUAUCUGUCUCUGUGUUUUAUUGUUUGCUUGCUAGCUAUAGAUCUCAUCUUGACAUUGGCCAGACGUGGUUGCUUUUGCCUCUAAUCCCACACUUUGGGAGGCCAAGGCAGGAGGAUUGCUUGAGCCCAGGGGUUCAGGACUAGCCCGGGUAACAUAGUCAGACCCUGUCUCUACAAAAAAAUUUAAAAAUUAGCCAGACUUGAUGGUGCACACCUGUGCCCCCAGCUACUCAGGAGGCUGAGGUGGGAGGACUAUCUGAGCCCAGGAAGCUUGAGGCUGCAGUGAAUAGAGAUUGUGCCCCUGUACUCUAGCCUGGGUGACAGAGUGACACCAUCUCAAG
Molecule: long non-coding RNA, 700 nt
Filed under: Homo sapiens (human)
Lineage: Eukaryota; Metazoa; Chordata; Mammalia; Primates; Hominidae
Description: long non-coding RNA NONHSAT148566.1
Source: RNAcentral